AGAGUUUGAUCAUGGCUCAGGACGAACGCUGGCGGCGUGCCUAACACAUGCAAGUCGAACGGAGAUGUUAAGGAAGUUUUACUGAAUUAAUGUCUUAGUGGCGGACGGGUGAGUAACGCGUGGGUGACCUACCCAUAAGAGGGGGAUAACAGUUGGAAACGACUGCUAAUACCGCAUAAGCUGAGUAAUCAGUAAAGGAGGCCUCUGAAAAUGCUUCCGCUUAUGGAUGGGCCCGCGUCUGAUUAGCUGGUUGGUGGGGUAAAGGCCUACCAAGGCGACGAUCAGUAGCCGGCCUGAGAGGGUGAACGGCCACACUGGGACUGAGACACGGCCCAGACUCCUACGGGAGGCAGCAGUGGGGAAUAUUGCGCAAUGGGGGAAACCCUGACGCAGCGACGCCGCGUGAGCGAAGAAGGCCUUAGGGUCGUAAAGCUCUGUUUUAAGGGACGAAUGUCGCGGGUAAUAAUACGAUCUGCGAAUGACGGUACCUUAAGAGGAAGCCCCGGCUAACUACGUGCCAGCAGCCGCGGUAAGACGUAGGGGGCGAGCGUUGUCCGGAAUUACUGGGCGUAAAGAGCACGUAGGCGGGAUUUUAAGUCAGGUGUGAAAGACCGUGGCUCAACCACGGGGUUGCACUUGAAACUGGGAUUCUUGAGGGCAGGAGAGGAAAGUGGAAUUCCUGGUGUAGCGGUGAAAUGCGUAGAAAUCAGGAGGAACACCGGUGGCGAAGGCGACUUUCUGGACUGACCCUGACGCUGAGGUGCGAAAGCGUGGGUAGCAAACAGGAUUAGAUACCCUGGUAGUCCACGCUGUAAACGAUGGAUACUAGGUGUGG
This 835-nucleotide ribosomal RNA is filed under the name uncultured bacterium. RNAcentral describes it as "bacterial SSU rRNA". It matches the Rfam family "Bacterial small subunit ribosomal RNA", at positions 8 to 825 of the family's 1533-position model. The record is from RNAcentral.